RNAcentral lists this ribosomal RNA (459 nucleotides) under uncultured bacterium. Its description in RNAcentral is "partial 16S ribosomal RNA". It matches the Rfam family "Bacterial small subunit ribosomal RNA", at positions 338 to 795 of the family's 1533-position model. The record is from RNAcentral.
CCUACGGGUGGCAGCAGUGAGGAAUAUUGGUCAAUGGCCGGAAGGCUGAACCAGCCAAGCCGCGUGAAGGACGAAGGUGCCAAGCAUUGUAAACUUCUUUUGUCAAGGGACAAAAUCAGGCUCGAGAGCCUGACCGAGGGUACUUGAAGAAAAAGCAUCGGCUAACUCCGUGCCAGCAGCCGCGGUAAUACGGAGGAUGCGAGCGUUAUCCGGAUUUAUUGGGUUUAAAGGGUGCGUAGGCGGGCUGUUAAGUCAGCGGUAAAAGCCCGGGGCUCAACCCCGGCCCGCCGUUGAAACUGGCAGUCUCGAGUUGGAGAGAAGUAUGCGGAAUGCGCGGUGUAGCGGUGAAAUGCAUAGAUAUCGCGCAGAACUCCGAUUGCGAAGGCAGCAUGCCGGCUCCACACUGACGCUGAGGCACGAAAGCGUGGGUAUCGAACAGGAUUAGAUACCCCUGUAGUC